This is a long non-coding RNA of Oncorhynchus tshawytscha (Chinook salmon), 311 nucleotides long. RefSeq lists it as uncharacterized. The record is from RefSeq and is a predicted model, not a curated record. NCBI's taxonomy places the organism in Eukaryota, Metazoa, Chordata, Actinopteri, Salmoniformes, Salmonidae. The transcript has 3 exons.
UGGCCCCAUCGGAUGAUACCCCCGGACAGGGCCAAACAGGAAGGAUAUAACCCCACUCACUUUGCCAAAGCACAGCCCCCACACCACGAGAGGGCUACCUUCAUCCAUCAGGUCCAUAGAUGUGAAAGUCCUACUCAUCUCUCUGGGCAUGUUGGUGGUGGUGACAGCUGGUAUCCUAGUAACAUGGAAGAUGUGGAGAAGGCAUAAGGACAAUAAGGCCAAGGACCAGAUUACUAACAACUCAGUGUCUGCUGACUCUGAGCAGGACAUUACAUACAGCACAGUGACCAACACCAGAAAAAUAGCACAGC